This 75-nucleotide transfer RNA is filed under the name bacterium. RNAcentral's name for it is "tRNA-Glu". It matches the Rfam family "tRNA". Rfam says of the family: Transfer RNA (tRNA) molecules are approximately 80 nucleotides in length. Their secondary structure includes four short double-helical elements and three loops (D, anti-codon, and T loops). The record is from RNAcentral.
GCCCCGUUCGUCUAGUGGUUAGGACACAUGGUUUUCAUCCAUGCAACAGGAGUUCGAUUCUCCUACGGGGUACCA